This 540-nucleotide ribosomal RNA is filed under the name Triticum aestivum (bread wheat). RNAcentral's name for it is "partial small subunit ribosomal RNA". Lineage: Eukaryota; Viridiplantae; Streptophyta; Magnoliopsida; Poales; Poaceae. The record is from RNAcentral.
GUUUAACACGCUUUCCCCAAUUAAUUACGUACGUAGAAACAGCUCACACAGAUUCUAACUGAGAAGAGGAGAUCAUGGAGCGAUCUUCCUCUGCUUCUUCUUCCUCCCUCUUAGGCACCAUGGCCAUCCUGGCAAUCCUAUGCUGCUCCCUGCCAUCCUCGGUGGCAAUCCAAGUUCAUAUGGACGGAGACCUAUCGGGAGUGACACCUCCGCCUCCGUGGCACCCGCCGGCGCCGCACGGGAAGAUCACCCGCAGGCUGUUGCAAACGUCCCUUGUUCAUAUGGACGGAGACCGAGAAGGAGCUGGUCCUCCGUCGCGUAUGUCCGAGCAGGGACGGGCCCCUGGCCACAACUAACCGUGUUCUUUUUUUUUUGCGGCAAACAACUAACCGUGUUUGUUGUGCUUAUUUAUGUUCCGAGCAUGAAUCGGGACAAGUUUGUCCUAUAGAUGACUUUAUAGUUUUAUUGUUUAUAUAAACUUCAAGUAAUAAGUAUGUGUUAUUUUUUUGAAUCAUGUUUGGAUUACUUACCAAGAGCGCC